GGAGUUGGAAUAUAUACAAGGGACUUCUUUUAUUUUAGAAUUAAAGCUUAUGUAUCUUUAUUAGUUAGAAAGAAUGUAAGACUAUUUAUCGACCUUAUAUUUGAAUAUUUUUCUACUAAGAGUAGAUUAGAGUUUGUUUAUGACUUUACCAUAGAUAGAUUAAAACAUGAGCAGUUGAUUUUUUUUUGGCAAGAACCUGAUAUUCUUAUUUAAAAUUAAAAUAUUAAUUUUGAUUACUAGAAAUAAAGGUUUUG
Molecule: long non-coding RNA, 254 nt
Filed under: Elaeis guineensis (African oil palm)
Lineage: Eukaryota; Viridiplantae; Streptophyta; Magnoliopsida; Arecales; Arecaceae
Description: long non-coding RNA (EGUI_LNC041836)
Source: RNAcentral